AACGAACGCUGGCGGCAUGCCUAACACAUGCAAGUCGAACGAGACCUUCGGGUCUAGUGGCGCACGGGUGCGUAACGCGUGGGAACCUGCCCUUAGGUUCGGAAUAACUCCCCGACAGGGGUGCUAAUACCGGAUAAUGUCUUCGGACCAAAGAUUUAUCGCCUUUGGAUGGGCCCGCGUUGGAUUAGCUAGUUGGUAGGGUAAAAGCCUACCAAGGCGACGAUCCAUAGCUGGUCUGAGAGGAUGAUCAGCCACACUGGGACUGAGACACGGCCCAGACUCCUACGGGAGGCAGCAGUGGGGAAUAUUGGACAAUGGGCGAAAGCCUGAUCCAGCAAUGCCGCGUGAGUGAUGAAGGCCUUAGGGUUGUAAAGCUCUUGUACCCGGGAUGAUAAUGACAGUACCGGGAGAAUAAGCUCCGGCUAACUCCGUG
This 433-nucleotide ribosomal RNA is filed under the name uncultured bacterium. RNAcentral describes it as "partial 16S ribosomal RNA". It matches the Rfam family "Bacterial small subunit ribosomal RNA", at positions 29 to 507 of the family's 1533-position model. The record is from RNAcentral.